GUGGGGAAUUUUGGACAAUGGGCGCAAGCCUGAUCCAGCCAUGCCGCGUGCAGGAUGAAGGCCUUCGGGUUGUAAACUGCUUUUGUACGGAACGAAAAGACUCUGGUUAAUACCUGGGGUCCAUGACGGUACCGUAAGAAUAAGCACCGGCUAACUACGUGCCAGCAGCCGCGGUAAUACGUAGGGUGCGAGCGUUAAUCGGAAUUACUGGGCGUAAAGCGUGCGCAGGCGGUUAUGUAAGACAGAUGUGAAAUCCCCGGGCUCAACCUGGGAACUGCAUCUGUGACUGCAUUGCUGGAGUGCGGCAGAGGGGGAUGGAAUUCCGCGUGUAGCAGUGAAAUGCGUAGAUAUGCGGAGGAACACCGAUGGCGAAGGCAAUCCCCUGGGCCUGCACUGACGCUCAUGCACGAAAGCGUGGGGAGCAAACAGGAUUAGAAACCCCGGUAGUCC
Molecule: ribosomal RNA, 450 nt
Filed under: uncultured bacterium
Lineage: Bacteria
Description: partial 16S ribosomal RNA
Rfam family: Bacterial small subunit ribosomal RNA
Source: RNAcentral